Molecule: transfer RNA, 65 nt
Filed under: Desmodema polystictum (polka-dot ribbonfish)
Lineage: Eukaryota; Metazoa; Chordata; Actinopteri; Lampriformes; Trachipteridae
Description: tRNA-Cys
Source: RNAcentral
AGCCUUGAGGUAUGAUCACGCCAGAUUGCAAAUUUGGAGACGUAGAGUAAAAUCUGCCGGGGCUU